This 507-nucleotide ribosomal RNA is filed under the name uncultured bacterium. RNAcentral describes it as "partial 16S ribosomal RNA". The record is from RNAcentral.
GGAGUUAGCCGGUGCUUCUUCUGUGAGUGAUGUCCUUCCUGCCGGCUAUUAACCCGCAGGCCUUCUUCCUCACUGAAAGUGCUUUACAACCCGAAGGCCUUCUUCACACACGCGGCAUGGCUGGAUCAGGGUUGCCCCCAUUGUCCAAUAUUCCCCACUGCUGCCUCCCGUAGGAGUCUGGGCCGUGUCUCAGUCCCAGUGUGGCUGAUCAUCCUCUCAGACCAGCUACGGAUCGUCGCCUUGGUGAGCCGUUACCUCACCAACCAGCUAAUCCGACAUAGGCUCAUCCGAUAGCGCGAGGCCCGAAGGUCCCCCGCUUUCCCCCGUAGGGCGUAUGCGGUAUUAGCCUGGGUUUCCCCGGGUUAUCCCCCACUACCGGGCAGAUUCCUAUGCAUUACUCACCCGUCCGCCGCUCGCCACCAGGGAGCAAGCUCCCCGUGCUGCCGCUCGACUUGCAUGUGUUAGGCCUGCCGCCAGCGUUCAAUCUGAGCCANAAUCAAACUCUGA